Molecule: ribosomal RNA, 253 nt
Filed under: uncultured Oscillospiraceae bacterium
Lineage: Bacteria; Bacillati; Bacillota; Clostridia; Eubacteriales; Oscillospiraceae
Description: partial 16S ribosomal RNA
Rfam family: Bacterial small subunit ribosomal RNA
Source: RNAcentral
UACGGAGGAUGCGAGCGUUAUCCGGAUUUACUGGGUGUAAAGGGCGUGCAGCCGGAGAGACAAGUCAGAUGUGAAAUCCACGGGCUCAACCCGUGAACUGCAUUUGAAACUGUUUCCCUUGAGUGUCGGAGAGGUAAUCGGAAUUCCUAGUGUAGCGGCGAAAUGCGUAGAUAUUAGGAAGAACACCAGUGGCGAAGGCGGAUUACUGGACGAUAACUGACGGUGAGGCGCGAAAGCGUGGGGAGCAAACAGG